UGCCAGACUCCUACGGGAGGCAGCAGUGGGGAAUAUUGCACAAUGGGCGAAAGCCUGAUGCAGCGACGCCGCGUGAGUGAAGAAGUAUUUCGGUAUGUAAAGCUCUAUCAGCAGGGAAGAUAAUGACGGUACCUGACUAAGAAGCCCCGGCUAACUACGUGCCAGCAGCCGCGGUAAUACGUAGGGGGCAAGCGUUAUCCGGAUUUACUGGGUGUAAAGGGUGCGUAGGUGGCAGGGCAAGUCAGAUGUGAAAGCCCGGGGCCCAACCCCGGUACUGCAUUUGAAACUGUCCGGCUGGAGUGCAGGAGAGGUAAGCGGAAUUCCUAGUGUAGCGGUGAAAUGCGUAGAUAUUAGGAGGAACACCAGUGGCGAAGGCGGCUUACUGGACUGUAACUGACACUGAGGCACGAAAGCGUGGGGAGCAAACAGGAUUAGAUACCCCCGUAG
RNAcentral lists this ribosomal RNA (447 nucleotides) under uncultured bacterium. RNAcentral describes it as "bacterial SSU rRNA". It matches the Rfam family "Bacterial small subunit ribosomal RNA", at positions 329 to 793 of the family's 1533-position model. The record is from RNAcentral.